Molecule: ribosomal RNA, 305 nt
Filed under: uncultured bacterium
Lineage: Bacteria
Description: bacterial SSU rRNA
Rfam family: Bacterial small subunit ribosomal RNA
Source: RNAcentral
UAGACCUACGGGGCGCAGCAGUGAGGAAUAUUGGUCAAUGGGCGGAAGCCUGAACCAGCCAAGUCGCGUGAGGGACUAAGGCCCUGCGGGUCGUAAACCUCUUUUGCCGGGGAGCAGUGGUCCGGACGCGUCCGGACCGGGAGAGUACCCGGAGAAAAAGCAUCGGCUAACUCCGUGCCAGCAGCCGCGGUAAUACGGAGGAUGCGAGCGUUAUCCGGAUUUAUUGGGUUUAAAGGGUGCGUAGGCGGACUGUCAAGUCAGCGGUAAAAUACGGGGGCUCAACCUCCGCCCGCCGUUGAAACUGA